GACGAAGGGGGCGAGCGUUGUUCGGAAUCACUGGGCAUAAAGAGCACGUAGGCGGCUAAGUCAGUCGGAUGUGAAAUACCUCGGCUCAACCGAGGAACUGCGUCCGAUACUGCUUGGCUUGAGGUCCGGAGGGGAGAGUGGAAUUCCCGGUGGAGCGGUGAAAUGCGUAGAGAUCGGGAAGAACGCCGGCGGCGAAAGCGACUCUCUGGUCGGAAUCUGACGCUGAGGUGCGAAAGCUAGGGGAGCAAACGGG
Molecule: ribosomal RNA, 253 nt
Filed under: uncultured bacterium
Lineage: Bacteria
Description: partial 16S ribosomal RNA
Rfam family: Bacterial small subunit ribosomal RNA
Source: RNAcentral